GCCUAGCCCUAAACUUAGAUAGCGACUUACCACCUAUCCGCCAGAGAACUACAAGUAAAAUACUUGAAACUCAAAGGACUUGGCGGCAUUCCAUAUCAACCUAGAGGAGCCCGUCCAAUAAUCGAUACUACGCGCUUAACCCAACCAUUUUUGGCCACUCCAGCCUAUAUACCGCCGUCGUCAGCUAACCUUGUGAAAGAAAAGUAGUAAGCACAAUAGCCCUCGCUAAAACGUCAGGUCAAGGUGUAGCUAAUAAAAUGGCUGCGAUAGGCUACAUUUUCUACCAUAGAAAAUACGGAAAAUACAAUGAAAUUUUGUAAUAGAAGGUGAAUUUAGAAGUAAACUAAGAAAGCGUCCUUAUUUUAACAUCGCCCUGGAAUGCGCACACA
This 389-nucleotide ribosomal RNA is filed under the name Cordylus rivae (Ethiopian girdled lizard). RNAcentral's name for it is "partial 12S ribosomal RNA". It matches the Rfam family "Bacterial small subunit ribosomal RNA", at positions 794 to 1389 of the family's 1533-position model. The record is from RNAcentral. Lineage: Eukaryota; Metazoa; Chordata; Lepidosauria; Squamata; Cordylidae.